UGGGGAAUAUUGCACAAUGGGCGAAAGCCUGAUGCAGCAACGCCGCGUGAGUGAUGAAGGUCUUCGGAUUGUAAAGCUCUGUCUUUUGGGACGAUAAUGACGGUACCAAAGGAGGAAGCCACGGCUAACUACGUGCCAGCAGCCGCGGUAAUACGUAGGUGGCGAGCGUUGUCCGGAUUUACUGGGCGUAAAGGGUGCGUAGGCGGAUGUUUAAGUGAGAUGUGAAAUACCCGGGCUUAACUUGGGUGCUGCAUUUCAAACUGGAUAUCUAGAGUGCAGGAGAGGAGAAUGGAAUUCCUAGUGUAGCGGUGAAAUGCGUAGAGAUUAGGAAGAACACCAGUGGCGAAGGCGAUUCUCUGGACUGUAACUGACGCUGAGGCACGAAAGCGUGGGUAGCAAACAGGAUUAGAUACCCUGGUAGUCCACGCCGUAAAACG
This 437-nucleotide ribosomal RNA is filed under the name uncultured bacterium. Its description in RNAcentral is "partial 16S ribosomal RNA". It matches the Rfam family "Bacterial small subunit ribosomal RNA", at positions 355 to 809 of the family's 1533-position model. The record is from RNAcentral.